UUGCAAUUGUUGGUCUUCAANNAGGAAUUCCUAGUAAGCGUGAGUCAUCAGCUGCNGUUGACUASGUCCCUGCCCUUUGUACACACCGGCNGUCGCUCCUACCGAUUGAAUGGUCCGGUGAAGUGUUCGGA
This 131-nucleotide ribosomal RNA is filed under the name Nuphar lutea. RNAcentral describes it as "partial 18S ribosomal RNA". It matches the Rfam family "Eukaryotic small subunit ribosomal RNA", at positions 1604 to 1734 of the family's 1831-position model. The record is from RNAcentral. Lineage: Eukaryota; Viridiplantae; Streptophyta; Magnoliopsida; Nymphaeales; Nymphaeaceae.